Molecule: ribosomal RNA, 253 nt
Filed under: uncultured bacterium
Lineage: Bacteria
Description: partial 16S ribosomal RNA
Rfam family: Bacterial small subunit ribosomal RNA
Source: RNAcentral
UACAGAGGUCCCAACCGUUGUUCGGAUUCAUUGGGCUUAAAGGGUGCGUAGGCGGCGGGGCAAGUCAGGUGUGAAAUCUCGGGGCUCAACCCCGAAACUGCACUUGAUACUGCCUUGCUCGAGUACUGGAGAGGAGACUGGAAUUUACGGUGUAGCAGUGAAAUGCGUAGAUAUCGUAAGGAAGACCAGUGGCGAAGGCGAGUCUCUGGACAGUUACUGACGCUGAGGCACGAAGGCCAGGGGAGCAAACGGG